UCGGUGCCGGUUCACGUCCCGCAACCUGCGGCGGCGACCCGGAACC
Nocardioides luteus is the source of this 46-nucleotide regulatory RNA element. It matches the Rfam family "L31-Actinobacteria ribosomal protein leader". NCBI's taxonomy places the organism in Bacteria, Bacillati, Actinomycetota, Actinomycetes, Propionibacteriales, Nocardioidaceae. The record is from Rfam.